Molecule: ribosomal RNA, 253 nt
Filed under: uncultured bacterium
Lineage: Bacteria
Description: partial 16S ribosomal RNA
Rfam family: Bacterial small subunit ribosomal RNA
Source: RNAcentral
UACGAAGGGGGCUAGCGUUGCUCGGAAUCACUGGGCGUAAAGCGCACGUAGGCGGCUUGUUAAGUCAGGGGUGAAAUCCUGGAGCUCAACUCCAGAACUGCCUUUGAUACUGGCGAUCUCGAGUCCGGGAGAGGUGAGUGGAACUGCGAGUGUAGAGGUGAAAUUCGUAGAUAUUCGCAAGAACACCAGUGGCGAAGGCGGCUCACUGGCCCGGUACUGACGCUGAGGAGCGAAAGCGUGGGGAGCGAACAGG